RNAcentral lists this ribosomal RNA (216 nucleotides) under Glomeromycotina sp. Its description in RNAcentral is "partial small subunit ribosomal RNA". The stretch from base 40 to 216 matches the Rfam family "Eukaryotic small subunit ribosomal RNA", at positions 686 to 864 of the family's 1831-position model. Lineage: Eukaryota; Fungi; Glomeromycota. The record is from RNAcentral.
GGGUCAGUAGGUUGGUCGUGCCACCGGUACGUACUGGUCUCACUGAUUCCUCCUUCCUGAAGAACCGUAAUGCCAUUAAUUUGGUGUUGCGGGGAAACAGGACUGUUACUUUGAAUAAAUUAGAGUGUUUAAAGCAAGCUAACGCUUGAAUACAUUAGCAUGGAAUAAUGAAAUAGGACGAUCGAUCCUAUUUUGUUGGUUUCUAGGAUUGACAUA